UGUCCCCCGUCUCUCCAACCGAAAGUAUUCCACAGACCGACCGACCGAAAGUAUACCACCUACCGACCACUCAUCAGUCUCAUUACACCUUUUAUCCUGAAAUAUUCCUCUUUUUCCCUAUAUUAAAUCAACAAGUAUAAAUGAAAGAGAGACCUAAAAUAUAGGGUAAUAGAAGGCGAAGGAGCAAAAUAAGAAAGCAGUGAGCGAACAAGUGAUCAACUAGCCAGCGGCGCUCGAGUUUAAUCAGUUUAGAAGAUCGAAGGAGCUCGCUGGACACCUACAUCACUCGGACAAAUAAACACGGUCGAUAUGGGAGACGCUGUGUUUGGCAACCCCAUCACAAACUCAACUUUAAAAGGGCUGCCUUAAUUUGAAGAUGACUAUAACAUAACAAGCAUAGACAGAGCUUGUGUGGCUCUCAAUAUGAAGAAUGCAGAGGAA
Long non-coding RNA from Ziziphus jujuba (common jujube), 441 nucleotides. RefSeq lists it as uncharacterized. NCBI's taxonomy places the organism in Eukaryota, Viridiplantae, Streptophyta, Magnoliopsida, Rosales, Rhamnaceae. The transcript has 3 exons. The record is from RefSeq and is a predicted model, not a curated record.